Molecule: long non-coding RNA, 597 nt
Organism: Myotis myotis
Lineage: Eukaryota; Metazoa; Chordata; Mammalia; Chiroptera; Vespertilionidae
Exons: 4
Source: RefSeq, a predicted model, not a curated record
UUCGCCCACAGCUCUUACUAAUCCUCACCAGCAUCAUCCUGAGCAGCAUUAUCCGGAAGAGGAAAUACUUCUGAGCUCUGUGUGCGGGGUGCUGCUAGGGACACAAGACCAAGGCUUCAUGCGAUGUGCCCGACUGAGCACUGGAAAGCCAAGGAUUAAUAACUACUAACUUGUUCUUCUGUCAUUUGGGUGGAGCGGUUUAAGGAGGCCUCCUACAAGAAUUACACAAAUGAAGUCCUAAUAUGCCAUAAUGAUACCAGAGAUGUUCCAGUGCAUCGGAUCAAUAUACCUAUCAUUUUGACAAGAUGGGGACUGCAAGUUACUUUCCUGGAUCAUUUGAUGACAGACCCUGAGAAUUCUAAGCUCAUCUCUGCUUCCUUCUGCAUAAGGUUGCCAUCCCCAUACUACAGGAACCAUGACUGCAGGCAGCUCUGAACUUAAAUCAUCAUAAACCACAGAGGAAAUGUCAUUCUUCAAUCCCAACUUCAUUAAUGAUAAUUUCACAAUUCGCAGGUGAGAUCACUGAUGACCCCGACGUGGGUUGCGUGCCCAUCUCUGCAGCAAUCCCUGGGGCUAUGAGGACGAGGUAUUAUAACU